RNAcentral lists this ribosomal RNA (620 nucleotides) under Bradyrhizobium japonicum. Its description in RNAcentral is "bacterial SSU rRNA". It matches the Rfam family "Bacterial small subunit ribosomal RNA", at positions 60 to 724 of the family's 1533-position model. Lineage: Bacteria; Pseudomonadati; Pseudomonadota; Alphaproteobacteria; Hyphomicrobiales; Nitrobacteraceae. The record is from RNAcentral.
AGUCGAGCGGGCGUAGCAAUACGUCAGCGGCAGACGGGUGAGUAACGCGUGGGAACGUACCUUUUGGUUCGGAACAACACAGGGAAACUUGUGCUAAUACCGGAUAAGCCCUUACGGGGAAAGAUUUAUCGCCGAAAGAUCGGCCCGCGUCUGAUUAGCUAGUUGGUAGGGUAACGGCCUACCAAGGCGACGAUCAGUAGCUGGUCUGAGAGGAUGAUCAGCCACAUUGGGACUGAGACACGGCCCAAACUCCUACGGGAGGCAGCAGUGGGGAAUAUUGGACAAUGGGGGCAACCCUGAUCCAGCCAUGCCGCGUGAGUGAUGAAGGCCCUAGGGUUGUAAAGCUCUUUUGUGCGGGAAGAUAAUGACGGUACCGCAAGAAUAAGCCCCGGCUAACUUCGUGCCAGCAGCCGCGGUAAUACGAAGGGGGCUAGCGUUGCUCGGAAUCACUGGGCGUAAAGGGUGCGUAGGCGGGUCUUUAAGUCAGGGGUGAAAUCCUGGAGCUCAACUCCAGAACUGCCUUUGAUACUGAAGAUCUUGAGUUCGGGAGAGGUGAGUGGAACUGCGAGUGUAGAGGUGAAAUUCGUAGAUAUUCGCAAGAACACCAGUGGCGAAGGCGG